GUACUUACCUGGCAGGGGAGAUACCAUGAUCACGAAGGUGGUUUCCCAGGGCGAGGCUUGUCCAUUGCGCUCUGGCUGUGCUGACCCCUGCGAUUUCCCCAAAUGUGGGAAACUGGACUGCAUGAUUUGUGGUAGUCGGGGACUGCGUACACGCUUUCCCCUG
Molecule: small nuclear RNA, 163 nt
Filed under: Aotus nancymaae (Ma's night monkey)
Lineage: Eukaryota; Metazoa; Chordata; Mammalia; Primates; Aotidae
Description: U1 spliceosomal RNA (ENSANAG00000019398.1)
Rfam family: U1 spliceosomal RNA
About the family: U1 is a small nuclear RNA (snRNA) component of the spliceosome (involved in pre-mRNA splicing). Its 5' end forms complementary base pairs with the 5' splice junction, thus defining the 5' donor site of an intron.
Source: Rfam by way of RNAcentral